UAGAUACAGAAGAAUUUGACAUGGGUUUGACAUGGGUCACAUCGCAGCAUGUGGGCCGAACAAAAGGUUUUCUCUCGGUUAUUUUUCUUUUUUCUUUUAUUAUUCCCGUAUGUUAUAUUGUUAACCGUCAGAAAUAGCAGCUGGUAGUUAUAAUACAUUGUAUAUUUUUUCAAACGAGAUUUCGGAAAAUAAAUUAUUAUAUAAUGGUUGCAGGUUAUAUAAUAAACGUACCAAGUCGAUUUUAUGGGGG
Molecule: non-coding RNA, 250 nt
Organism: Cinara cedri
Lineage: Eukaryota; Metazoa; Arthropoda; Insecta; Hemiptera; Aphididae
Source: the annotation of a GenBank genome assembly